RNAcentral lists this unclassified non-coding RNA (19 nucleotides) under Symbiodinium sp. B1. RNAcentral describes it as "trans-spliced leader". Lineage: Eukaryota; Dinophyceae; Suessiales; Symbiodiniaceae. The record is from RNAcentral.
GUAGCCAUUUUGGCUCAAG